This 404-nucleotide ribosomal RNA is filed under the name Actinomycetes bacterium. RNAcentral describes it as "Actinobacteria bacterium partial 16S ribosomal RNA". It matches the Rfam family "Bacterial small subunit ribosomal RNA", at positions 355 to 776 of the family's 1533-position model. Lineage: Bacteria; Bacillati; Actinomycetota; Actinomycetes. The record is from RNAcentral.
UGGGGAAUAUUGGACAAUGGGCGCAAGCCUGAUCCAGCCAUGCCGCGUGAGUGAUUAAGGCCCUAGGGUUGUAAAGCUCUUUCACCGGUGAAGAUAAUGACGGUAACCGGAGAAGAAGCCCCGGCUAACUUCGUGCCAGCAGCCGCGGUAAUACGAAUGGGGCUAGCGUUGUUCGGAUUUACUGGGCGUCAAGCGCACGUAGGCGGACUUUUAAGUCAGGGGUGAAAUCCCGGGGCUCAACCCCGGAACUGCCUUUGAUACUGGAAGUCUUGAGUAUGGUAGAGGUGAGUGGAAUUCCGAGUGUAGAGGUGAAAUUCGUAGAUAUUCGGAGGAACACCAGUGGCGAAGGCGGCUCACUGGACCAUUACUGACGCUGAGGUGCGAAAGCGUGGGGAGCAAACAGG